RNAcentral lists this ribosomal RNA (242 nucleotides) under uncultured Actinomycetales bacterium. RNAcentral's name for it is "partial 16S ribosomal RNA". It matches the Rfam family "Bacterial small subunit ribosomal RNA", at positions 88 to 334 of the family's 1533-position model. Lineage: Bacteria; Bacillati; Actinomycetota; Actinomycetes; Actinomycetales. The record is from RNAcentral.
UACUCGAGUGGCGAACGGGUGAGUAACACGUGGGUGAUCUGCCCUGCACUCUGGGAUAAGCCUGGGAAACUGGGUCUAAUACCGGAUAGGACAUGCUUUAGUGUGUGUGGUGGAAAGUUUUUUCGGUGUAGGAUGAGCCCGCGGCCUAUCAGCUUGUUGGUGGGGUAAUGGCCUACCAAGGCGGCGACGGGUAGCCGGACUGAGAGGUUGGUCGGCCACAUUGGGACUGAGAUACGGCCCAG